AGCCUUUUACAUGAUAGAAUGCAUAAUGUGUGAUUCUAUUUCUUUGAAUAGGAAAAUCUAAUGU
Small nucleolar RNA from Cavia aperea (Brazilian guinea pig), 64 nucleotides. NCBI's taxonomy places the organism in Eukaryota, Metazoa, Chordata, Mammalia, Rodentia, Caviidae. The record is from Ensembl.